GGGGUAGUAAAGGUUUCGACAGGGGUUAAGAAAGCGGAGAAGCUAUCCGUAGGCGAAACGUAAACGCACUUUUAAACUAAAUGCUGAUGAAAAAUUAGCAGUUGCUGCUUAAUCUGACUUUUAGUCUGAGACAACGGUAACGAAGGCCGUUUUUUAUAAACGGCGGUCCGGCCGGAGAUCACCCGCGUUCUCCGGAUCCGGGUCUUAUGAUCAGCGGGAAACGACAGCGGUGAUUCCUUAUAGCCGCCGGGCGUACUUAUAAGGAUACCUGCAGGUAUCGUUGUCGGCAUACGGAACUUGCGGGGAAUCUGCGAAAGCACAUACCGACUAUGAUAGUAGAAGGCUGUCCGGAAUAGCUCUUGGACACGAGUUCGACUCUCGUCUACUCCAU
RNAcentral lists this transfer-messenger RNA (391 nucleotides) under bovine gut metagenome. It matches the Rfam family "transfer-messenger RNA". Rfam says of the family: Bacterial tmRNA, also known as 10Sa RNA or SsrA, is named for its dual tRNA and mRNA-like properties. Its role is to liberate the mRNA from a stalled ribosome. To accomplish this part of the tmRNA is used as a reading frame that ends in a translation stop signal. The record is from RNAcentral.